GAUGAACGCUAGCUACAGGCUUAACACAUGCAAGUCGAGGGGAAACGGCAUUGAGUGCUUGCACUCUUUGGACGUCGACCGGCGCACGGGUGAGUAACGCGUAUCCAACCUUCCCAUUACUGUGGGAUAACCUGCCGAAAGGCAGACUAAUACCGCAUAGUCUUCGAUGACGGCAUCAGAUUUGAAGUACAGAUUUAUCGGUAAUGGAUGGGGAUGCGUCUGAUUAGCUUGUUGGCGGGGUAACGUCCCACCAAGGCUACGAUCAGUAGGGGUUCUGAGAGGAAGGUCCCCCAUAUUGGAACUUAGACACGGUCCAAACUCCUACGGGAGGCAGCAGUGAGGAAUAGUGGUCAAUGGACGGAAGUCUGAACCAGCCAAGUAGCGUGCGGGAUGACGGCCCUAUGGGUUGUAAACUGCUUUUGUAUUGGGAUAAAGUUAGGGACGUGUCCCUAUUUGCAGGUACCAUACGAAUAAGGACCGGCUAAGUCCGUG
Molecule: ribosomal RNA, 492 nt
Filed under: uncultured bacterium
Lineage: Bacteria
Description: partial 16S ribosomal RNA
Rfam family: Bacterial small subunit ribosomal RNA
Source: RNAcentral